UCGUGCUAGAUGGGGAGAUAGCGGUGCCCUGUACCCGCAAUCCGCUAUAGCGGGAUUGAAUUCCCAUCCAGAGGUCUUUGGCGCUGAAGAUCGGAUUCUGCGCAAUCAAGAACUUCUAAACCCCGUCAGGACCGGAAGGUAGCAGCGGUAGGAAUGUCUCUUGGUGUGCCGCAGAGUUGUCCGGUUGGAGCUAACUGGCUCUGGGCAGACUUGGGGGCGGGA
Molecule: signal recognition particle RNA, 222 nt
Filed under: Candidatus Latescibacterota bacterium
Lineage: Bacteria; Pseudomonadati; Candidatus Latescibacterota
Description: signal recognition particle sRNA large type
Rfam family: Bacterial large signal recognition particle RNA
About the family: The signal recognition particle (SRP) is a universally conserved ribonucleoprotein involved in the co-translational targeting of proteins to membranes.
Source: RNAcentral